Molecule: long non-coding RNA, 1653 nt
Organism: Xiphophorus hellerii (green swordtail)
Lineage: Eukaryota; Metazoa; Chordata; Actinopteri; Cyprinodontiformes; Poeciliidae
Exons: 2
Source: RefSeq, a predicted model, not a curated record
UUGGAUAGAAAAAACAAAGUUGGAAUUAAAGGUACUUACAGGGAAAUGAGGAUGAACGUUCAGAGCAUCGUUGCGUGAUUAAAGGUCCAAUCAAGAGUUCGAUCAACGUCUCUCCCCAGUGUUUCUCAGUCUGGACAGAUUCUUCCCUGGCUUCUCCUAUGAUCAGCAUCAACCUUGUGCUGCUGUUGCUGUGCGAGUGAGGGAAAUGCAACGGCUCCGAUUUGGACAAACACCUGGAGAUAAGGAACUUUAAUACCAAAUAUUUUAGCUUGUCCAAUUUGUGUAAAAUUCAGCGACCCGGAUGAUGCCGCCACGUCUAUAACAGUUCCCGCUCACCUGGGAGUGCGUUUGUGGGAAAUGUUUGACAGUCAUGUCGGGAACAGGAAGCAACGAUCUCCAAACUUUUCCCGCAAAGGAGGAUGCAGCCGUCCAAAAGGUGGAACUGCUCCUGCUUAAGUAUUAGAACUUCCCUCUCAGUGGAGCUAAUCCAACUCCUGUGACUGUACUAAAUGUAAAAGAAUGAAUUUUUUUCUUAACUUUUCAGAAAAGUUUGCAACAGUGUUUAACAGAACACAUUUCCAAUCUUCAGACGGCGAAGGAACUCAAAGGCACACAGACGGAGCGACUGGCCUGGAGUCAACCUGAGCUGUCAAAGAAGCUGGAAAGACACCAAAAGGAACAAAAAGAACGAUACUGUUACAAAUAACAUGCUUUUUUCUUUCUUUUUUUUAAAUCAAUUUAGCAUGAAGCUGUAAGCAUGUUGCAUUAUGCAGGCCCACUUCCACAGAGGGGUUCCUGAGCGUCUAGUUAAAGCUGGCAGCUACAACACCGCUCUGUUUGCAUGAGCGAACAUCAGUACAAGUGUUCAUUGCUCCUGAGGUUUCCUGGCAGAGUUAUCUCCCUUACCUCACAAUCUGACAGGAGGGGUACAGGCCAUUAAAAAUCCUGAUUAGCCAGACCCAAGCUCACAACACACACACACACACAAACACGCGAGCAUCCUCCAUAAACAUCUUAUAAACCCCACCCCAGUCGAUAACAAACCCCGUGUGAAUCACCGUGAGCUACAGCAGCAUCAUUUACCUUCAUCUGACCCGUGGUAUUUGAAAAGCAUAAAUCACCUGGGUUUUCUUUUUUUUUUUUUUACAUUUUUUUAUGCCGGCUUGUUGGAUGUGUUGAAACCGAAUGUGUAAUUUGUCACGCUAUCAGCAUCCAAACCACUAUCGGAGUACCCACAGAGAAUAACCUGUGUUCUCUGUGGUUGCACAACUGCACUUAAGCGACGGAGAGAAAACACUUUUCAAACAAAAGGAGACAUGCUAAGCUUGUUUUUUUUUUUCUUUUAAUCUUUAUUUUAUUUCAGUCAACAGCUUGUUCAUUAUAAAAAUAUCACUAUAUGUCUGUAGAAUCACUGUUUAUAAACAUUUCUGCUUUUUAAAGAAAUCUGCACUAUACAAUGAAAUGAAUCCCUUGUAAAACAUCGGUCUAAAAAUAGAAUAAAAAUAGCAAAGACAUAAUUAUCAGUUCAAUUUGAUCUCUAUCAAAACAGCAUGCACUCAGAUUCAGCACCCCGGAGGCACAUCAUUUGUUUUGCUUAUUUAAAAAUAAUAAUAAUAAUAAUAAUAAAAAAAAAAAAAAGAUUUACAGUGUUCG